RNAcentral lists this ribosomal RNA (494 nucleotides) under uncultured bacterium. RNAcentral describes it as "bacterial SSU rRNA". It matches the Rfam family "Bacterial small subunit ribosomal RNA", at positions 20 to 507 of the family's 1533-position model. The record is from RNAcentral.
UGGCUCAGAGCGAACGUUAGCGGCGGGCUUAACACAUGCAAGUCGAGCGAGAAAGGGGCUUCGGCCCUGAGUACAGCGGCGGACGGGUGAAUAACACGUAGGUAACCUUCCUUCCAGCGGGGACAACGGUCCGAAAGGACCGCUAAUACCGCAUACGUUCCCUGGGACCCUGGUCCCGGGGAGGAAAGCUCCGCAAGGGGCACUGGAUGAGGGGCCUGCGUAGCAUCAGCUAGUUGGUGGGGUAAUGGCCUACCAAGGCUAAGACGCUUAGCUGGUCUGAGAGGAUGAUCAGCCACACUGGGACUGAGACACGGCCCAGACUCCUACGGGAGGCAGCAGUGGGGAAUAUUGGACAAUGGGCGCAAGCCUGAUCCAGCCACGCCGCGUGAGUGAUGAAGGCCUUCGGGUCGUAAAGCUCUGUGGGGAGGGACGAAUGGCGCCGUGAAGAGCGGCGAGUGACGGUACCUCCUUAGCAAGCACCGGCUAACUUCGUG